CAGCAGUCGCCGCGGGAAUACGUAGGUGGCAAGCGUUAUCCGGAAUUAUUGGGCGUAAAGCGCGCGUAGGCGGUUUUUUAAGUCUGAUGUGAAAGCCCACGGCUCAACCGUGGAGGGUCAUUGGAAACUGGAAAACUUGAGUGCAGAAGAGGAAAGUGGAAUUCCAUGUGUAGCGGUGAAAUGCGCAGAGAUAUGGAGGAACACCAGUGGCGAAGGCGACUUUCUGGUCUGUAACUGACGCUGAUGUGCGAAAGCGUGGGGAUCAAACAGGAUUAGAUACCCCAGUAGUCCCUGUCUCUUAUAC
Molecule: ribosomal RNA, 304 nt
Filed under: uncultured bacterium
Lineage: Bacteria
Description: partial 16S ribosomal RNA
Rfam family: Bacterial small subunit ribosomal RNA
Source: RNAcentral